This 329-nucleotide unclassified non-coding RNA is filed under the name soil metagenome. RNAcentral describes it as "partial contains 5.8S ribosomal RNA, internal transcribed spacer 2, and large subunit ribosomal RNA". The stretch from base 1 to 120 matches the Rfam family "5.8S ribosomal RNA", at positions 35 to 154 of the family's 154-position model. The record is from RNAcentral.
GAUGAAGAACGUAGCGAAAUGCGAUAAGUAAUGUGAAUUGCAGAAUUCAGUGAAUCAUCGAAUCUUUGAACGCACAUUGCGCCCCUUGGUAUUCCGAGGGGCAUGCCUGUUCGAGCGUCAUUAUAACCCCUCAAGCUCAGCUUGGUGUUGGGGCCUGCUGCACUGGCAGCCCUUAAAAUCAGUGGCGGCGCCAUCUGGCUCUAAGCGUAGAAAUUCUUCUCGCUAUGGAGUCCUGGUGGAUGCUUGCCAUCAACCCCCAAUUUUUCUAUGGUUGACCUCGGAUCAGGUAGGGAUACCCGCUGAACUUAAGCAUAUCAAUAAGCGGAGGA